GACAGAGGGUGCAAGCGUUAUUCGGAUUCACUGGGCGUAAAGGGCGCGUAGGCGGCCACCGCAAGUCGGUUGUGAAAUCUCUGGGCUUAACCCAGAAAGGUCAACCGAUACUGCGGGGCUAGAGUGCAGAAGGGGCAACUGGAAUUCUCGGUGUAGCGGUGAAAUGCGUAGAUAUCGAGAGGAACACCUGCGGCGAAGGCGGGUUGCUGGGCUGACACUGACGCUGAAGCGCGAAAGCUAGGGGAGCGAACGGG
This 254-nucleotide ribosomal RNA is filed under the name uncultured bacterium. RNAcentral describes it as "partial 16S ribosomal RNA". It matches the Rfam family "Bacterial small subunit ribosomal RNA", at positions 524 to 776 of the family's 1533-position model. The record is from RNAcentral.